GACGAACUCUGGCGGCGUGCUUAACACAUGCAAGUCGAACGGAAAGGCCUGCUUUCCCUUGUGGAUUGCGGGUGCUCGAGUGGCGAACGGGUGAGUAACACGUGAGUGAUCUGCCCCCAACUUGGGUAUAAGCCUGGGAAACUGGGUCUAAUUCCCGAUAGGACUGCAGGGUGGUGCCUGUGGUGGAAAACGAUUUUCUAGUGGUUGGGGAUGAGCUCGCGGCCUAUCAGCUUGUUGGUGGGGUAAUGGCCUACCAAGGCGGCGACGGGUAGCCGGCCUGAGAGGGUGGACGGCCACAUUGGGACUGAGAUACGGCCCAGACUCCUACGGGAGGCAGCAGUGGGGAAUAUUGCACAAUGGGCGGAAGCCUGAUGCAGCGACGCCGCGUGGGGGAUGACGGCCUUCGGGUUGUAAACUCCUUUCGACCGCGAGGAAGCCACCUGGUUGGAAGGGUGGUGACGGUAGUGGUAGAAGAAGCACCGGCUAACUACGUG
Molecule: ribosomal RNA, 494 nt
Filed under: uncultured bacterium
Lineage: Bacteria
Description: partial 16S ribosomal RNA
Rfam family: Bacterial small subunit ribosomal RNA
Source: RNAcentral